Molecule: ribosomal RNA, 199 nt
Filed under: uncultured bacterium
Lineage: Bacteria
Description: partial 16S ribosomal RNA
Rfam family: Bacterial small subunit ribosomal RNA
Source: RNAcentral
ACUCCUACGGGAGGCAGCAGUGGGGAAUUUUGGACAAUGGACGCAAGUCUGAUCCAGCCAUUCCGCGUGCAGGAUGAAGGCCCUCGGGUUGUAAACUGCUUUUGUACGGAACGAAAAGGUUUCUAUUAAUACUAGGAGCUCAUGACGGUACCGUAAGAAUAAGCACCGGCUAACUACGUGCCAGCAGCCGCGGUAAUAC